Molecule: ribosomal RNA, 468 nt
Filed under: uncultured bacterium
Lineage: Bacteria
Description: partial 16S ribosomal RNA
Rfam family: Bacterial small subunit ribosomal RNA
Source: RNAcentral
GACGAACGCUGGCGGCGUGCUUAACACAUGCAAGUCGAACGGAAAGGCCCUGCUUUUGUGGGGUGCUCGAGUGGCGAACGGGUGAGUAACACGUGAGUAUCCUGCCCUUGACUUUGGGAUAACUUCAGGAAACUGGGGCUAAUACCGGAUAGGAGCUCCUGCUGCAUGGUGGGGGUUGGAAAGUUUCGGCGGUUGGGGAUGGACUCGCGGCUUAUCAGCUUGUUGGUGGGGUAGUGGCUUACCAAGGCUUUGACGGGUAGCCGGCCUGAGAGGGUGACCGGCGACCUUGGGACUGAGAUACGGCCCAGACUCCUACGGGAGGCAGCAGUGGGGAAUAUUGCACAAUGGGCGGAAGCCUGAUGCAGCAACGCCGCGUGCGGGAUGACCGCCUUCGGGUUGUAAACCGCUUUCGCCUGUGACGAAGCGUGAGUGACGGUAAUGGGUAAAGAAGCACCGGCUAACUACGUG